UACAGAGGGUGCUAGCGUUAAUCGGAUUUACUGGGCGUAAAGCGUGUGUAGGCGGUUUGUUAAGUCGGGUGUGAAAUCCCUGGGCUCAACCCUGGGAAUUGCAUUCGAUACUGGCAAGCUAGAGUACGGUAGAGGGCGGCGGAAUUCCGGGUGUAGCGGUGAAAUGCGUAGAUAUCUGGGAGACACCGGUGGCGAAGGCGGCAUCCUGGACCGGCAUUGACGCUGA
This 226-nucleotide ribosomal RNA is filed under the name uncultured bacterium. Its description in RNAcentral is "partial 16S ribosomal RNA". It matches the Rfam family "Bacterial small subunit ribosomal RNA", at positions 524 to 749 of the family's 1533-position model. The record is from RNAcentral.